RNAcentral lists this unclassified non-coding RNA (1748 nucleotides) under Hevea brasiliensis (rubber tree). Lineage: Eukaryota; Viridiplantae; Streptophyta; Magnoliopsida; Malpighiales; Euphorbiaceae. The record is from RNAcentral.
ACCUAUCUCAGCUUCAGGAAAUGAGAGUAAUUGAUUGCGAGAACUUGGAAGAGAUUGUGAUUGAUCAAAGUGGAUUUGGAGAAGACAAUGUAGAAGUGGCCGAGUUCAGUCAAUUGCGUUCCCUGGAGCUAGAUAGUCUGCCACUGUUGAAAAGCUUUUGCUUCAAAGUGAAGGCGUCAACAAAUGAUGAUGGAGGAUCGAAUGAAAUUGUGUUAGAUGAGAUCCAUAAUCCACUACCACUUUUCGAUAAAACGGUGUUACUCCCCAAUAUUGAGGACCUGAGAGUAUGCUCCAUAGGUAAAAAGGAGAAACUCUUCCCUUCAAACUCAUCAAUGAGCACAACUAUUUUGGGCUGUCAAGAUUUGAAGUACUUAUUUACAACUUUAUUUUUCAAAAGCCCUUUGCCACUCAAGCGACUUGAGAUAAAUGAUUGUGAGUUUAUGGAAGGGAUGGUUCUCACAGACGAAUUUGCUGGACAAGAGACGAUGAAUAAGAUAAUCCUCUCUAAUCUACACCACCUAACUAUCUCAAAUCUUCCAAAUCUCACAAGAUUCUGUGAUGGGCAUUUAAUUGACUUUUGCUCUUUGACCAAGCUAUCAAUAGAGAAGUGCCCUGCAUUUAGGACUUUUGUCUCCAAUCCUCUUUGUGCAGACAUUAAGGUCAGCAAAAAACCCAAAGAAGUGGACUUGGAGAGAAACCAAGACACCACAUUUCCGCCUCUUUUUGAUGAAAAGGUGAAUCCCUCAUUUUUCUUUUCUUAUAAAACAAUCUACGUCAUUGUUAGUAUUCAAUUAUCCUCUUGAUCAGAUGGAAAAGAGUAGAAGGAAAGAUUCCACCUGCCUAAAUGCUGAAGUUUCCCCAAUAAACGUAAUAUGUUCUAUAUUUUUUACCCGUAACUAAACUCAUUAUUAACAAUUUGAAUAGCAUUGCAGGUUUCAUUUCCUAGCUUGAAGCUAAUGUGCAUUAUUAGCAUGAGUAACUUGGAAAGGACAUGGCACAGCCAACUCGCUGAAGGUUCCUUUUACAAACUAAAUUCAAUUUAUAUUCGGGAUUGUAAAAACAUAGAGACUCUUUUUCCAUCAAAUGACUUGGGAAGAUUCCGAAAAUUGGAGGGGUUGAAGUUAGUUGAUUGUCAUUCACUGCAAGAGAUAUAUCAACUGGAAGGGUUCAAUGCUGAAGAAACAAGUUCAGUCAUGUCAUUUGAUUUGAAACAUCUUUGUAUAUCUGGCCUCGAAGGAUUGAAACACAUAUGGAGUAAAGAUCCACAAGGAAUUCUUACCUUCCAAAAUCUGGAUUACAUAGAGGUUCUAAACUGUAAGAUUCUUAACAAUUUGUUUCCCUCCUCCAUAGCUAAAGAUCUUUUGCAACUUAAAAGGCUUGAAUUGGUCAAUUGUGGGAUAGAAGAGAUUGUUACAAAGGCAGAAGGUGUAGAAGAAGUCCCAUCUUUUGUGUUCCGUCAGCUAGUCUCCUUGAGACUUGAAGGCCUACCGAAAAUUAGGAAUUUUUAUCCAGGUACAUGUAGUUUGGAAUUCCCAAAAUUAAAAUAUUUGACAGUGCAUCGAUGUGGAAAAGGAAAAAAAUUUGCUUCGGAAUUCUUUAAUCUCCAAGAAAAAUAUAGAGAGAAGCAAUGCAACAACCCGAUUCAACAACCCAUGUCCUUGGUGGAAAAGGUUUUCUUCAGUUUGGAGAGGUUGUCUCUAGACGGUAAGAUGAUUGAGACGAUAUUGCAAUGCCAAUUGCCAAAAGGU